This 500-nucleotide ribosomal RNA is filed under the name uncultured bacterium. RNAcentral describes it as "partial 16S ribosomal RNA". It matches the Rfam family "Bacterial small subunit ribosomal RNA", at positions 30 to 523 of the family's 1533-position model. The record is from RNAcentral.
AUUGAACGCUGGCGGCAUGCCUUACACAUGCAAGUCGAACGGCAGCACGGGGGCAACCCUGGUGGCGAGUGGCGAACGGGUGAGUAAUACAUCGGAACGUGCCCAGUCGUGGGGGAUGACGUAGCGAAAGUUACGCUAAUACCGCAUACGAUCUCUGGAUGAAAGCGGGGGACCGCAAGGCCUCGCGCGAUUGGAGCGGCCGAUGGCAGAUUAGGUAGUUGGUGGGGUAAAAGCUUACCAAGCCUCCGAUCUGUAGCUGGUCUGAGAGGACGAUCAGCCACACUGGGACUGAGACACGGCCCAGACUCCUACGGGAGGCAGCAGUGGGGAAUUUUGGACAAUGGGCGCAAGCCUGAUCCAGCAAUGCCGCGUGCAGGACGAAGGCCUUCGGGUUGUAAACUGCUUUUGUACGGAGCGAAACGGCUUCCACUAAUACUGGGGGCUAAUGACGGUACCGUAAGAAUAAGCACCGGCUAACUACGUGCCAGCCGCCGCAGUAA